Molecule: long non-coding RNA, 116 nt
Organism: Lacerta agilis (Sand lizard)
Lineage: Eukaryota; Metazoa; Chordata; Lepidosauria; Squamata; Lacertidae
Exons: 2
Source: RefSeq, a predicted model, not a curated record
GAGUGCAUGACUGGGGUCGAAGGUUGCAUGCCUCAGGUGGGAGAAAAAUGCAUGACCAUCCGCAUCAGCAAAGACGGAGAGGAGAAAUUCAGGAUCCUGGGCUGCACCAGACAGAA